Molecule: small nuclear RNA, 164 nt
Filed under: Carlito syrichta (Philippine tarsier)
Lineage: Eukaryota; Metazoa; Chordata; Mammalia; Primates; Tarsiidae
Description: U1 spliceosomal RNA (ENSTSYG00000028989.1)
Rfam family: U1 spliceosomal RNA
About the family: U1 is a small nuclear RNA (snRNA) component of the spliceosome (involved in pre-mRNA splicing).
Source: Rfam by way of RNAcentral
AUACUUACCUGGCAGGGGAGAUACCAUGAUCACGAAGGUGGUUUUCCCAGUGCUGAGCUUAUUCAUUGCACUCCAGAUGUGCUGACCCCUGCGAUUUCCCCAAAUGUGGCAAACUCGACUGCAUAAUUUGUGAUAGUGGGGGACUGUGUUCAUGCUUUCCCCUG